Pantherophis guttatus is the source of this 2744-nucleotide non-coding RNA. NCBI's taxonomy places the organism in Eukaryota, Metazoa, Chordata, Lepidosauria, Squamata, Colubridae. The record is from RefSeq and is a predicted model, not a curated record.
GAAAAAUGGAACAAACCUGAUGUGCAUUUUCUCUCCUACAGACAGACAAAAACACACGUCAGUUUCUGAUCCGGCUUUUUUUAAUGAAUUUCCGAGAGAAUAAAUCUUCUGAUUUCCAUGGACUUUUUUCAGAUUAAAAAGGGGUCCAGCAUCUCCUGCAGAUCUGUCUCCCCAAGCCCCUCGCUGCGUAAUUGCUUCACCUGCAGACUGUGAGGGAAGAUCGCCAUCUACUGAAGAAAGCCUUCGAGGCUGGAGUGAUUUUCCUCACUGCCUUGCUUGCCCCUGUUUAGCUGGCAAGCAGGGAACCGAAGCUGCCAUUGCCGCUGUUUGAACACCAAAGCGAUGGAGGAGGGGAGCAAUUCCGAAAAGGCAGACUUCAAGAGCAUAUUGUCUUGAUUAUAAAUAGAGCCUGAUAUGGAGAGCCUUCACAGAAAAAAGCGAUAGCAAGAAUCUGCCCUGCACACAAGAGGAGACUAAGGAAGGUCAGAGAGACUUACUCUUCCUUACCUGUUGCAAAUUUCAGGUCAUGUGAAAAACUACAUAGAGACCCUGUUUUGUCGAUUUGCAUGCUCUAAGGCUCUGGGCCAAAUAAAUAUUCUCUUGUCCAGAAGCACCUCUAAUUUAUUAGAACUUGGUGCGUGAAGAGCUCUUCGGUCUACAGAAGAUUGUUCUUCAGAGAAAAUUCCUUUAUUAUGAGAUGUAAUUCUAAGAUAUGGAUUAUUGUGGUAAGUUAAACUACUCAUUUGUUCAUGCCAUUUCACCCUGUUCUGCAAGAGUAGAAGUAUAGCACUUAAAAAAAUUAAAUACCCCCACCUGAUUACUUAGCCACAUUAUUUGUGAGGUUCUCUUCCCCCAAUCACAGAGAAGAGAAUCACUAUGGAAACAAAGUGGAUAUAAUGCAUAUUGCAAGCAAAGUGUGUUUCAGGCUUUUAAAAGAUGUCCAAUUAUUUUAAUAGCAGAGCUUCAUAGCAAACGUUGUAUUUUAGAUGUAUUCUCCUUCCUCUUAAGCACACUAAUGAUGUGUCAGAAAGACUGGAAAUCCAAGAGCACCCCACCAGGAAAUUACCACCCAUUUGACUCCUCCUCCAGAUGCUUCCCCAGAUGUCUCUCCAGAUGUCAGUUCAGAGGAGGAUGAACCAAUCCCUGGCUCCAAGCAGCCAGCUGAAAGUGAUUUGGCUGAAGCACAGCUGCAGCAGGCAGCCCUGAGGCUUCAGGUGAGGAAAUUGCAGCCGGUUAGUGAUGAGGAGAAGGAACUGCCUUCUGAACCUGAUCCAAGAACAUGUAGGGCAGAGAAAAGGCAGAACCAGCGAAGAUCAGCCUGAUGAUUCGUGAGGAGGCAGCCUUGUCCCUCUUGAUGGGCUGCACUGGAAGCUGGCAAUUUAGAUGGAGAUAAUGCUGGGAACAAUGUGUACAUUUCUUUGCUGUGUGUUUCCUGGUUGUUGUGAUUCCAGCCUUGCCUUGGAUUGACCCUGUACCUUGACUUUGGAUUGUGCCGUGUGAACUUUGGACUUGUCUUGCCUCAUGCAUCCUCUUGUAUUGUGGAUUUAAUUUUGCCCAGUGGAUUUAUCUUGUUUGCCAAAUUUUCAAGUGCCCUGUGGACUCAGAGGCCAUUGCUCUAUGGACUAGCAUUGGCCUGCUUUUGUCUGGACUUAAUUGGGACAGUUCUGGGUUUUUAGUGAAGGGAAUUCACUGGGGAAUAUUAAUAAACCCACUAACCCACUGUUGCAUGUGUGUUCGAGUGGGUGGGACAGCACAAUUGUAUUAUUAUUUUUUUAUGUAUUCCAUGUAUUGUAAAAUCUUUAAUAGAACGCAACCACAGAUGUUCUCUGUGGAACAGGAGUAGAUAAUGUGGUGAAACAAUAACUGUUUCUCAUGGUUUCCAGCAGGCUCCAUCUCUCACCCUUAAAAACCAAAUCAUAGUAAAUGGGAAUUGACACACUGCAAAGUAAGGUACAAGAGUACCUUCAUCUUUAUUUCCAGAAUGCCUCUGGGCCUCUCUUGGCAUUUGUAGAAAAUAAACAGGCCCAGGGGCUGAAGCUCUGUUCAAUCUGUGCUCAUCUGCCCCAGCCCACAAAGCAAAGAUAAACACCUUUCUCGCAGAGUUCUCUUUAAUAAGGCUAGUAGUGCAAGAAUCACAGCAACUAAUCGAUGUUCAUAUACACCCACAUAGCCUCCUAACACAUUGAGGAAGGAGAUUUUCUAAUUUUUCUUUCUAACAGCCUUCCUGCGAUCUCUUCAUCAAUAACAUUCCCUCAGAGCUCUCUUUUUAUCUAAUGGUCUCCUUUUUUGUUUUACAAUGGGAGCAAUCUCAUCUUUUCAAUUUGUGUUUCCGGUGGCAGCCAUUUUGUUGGGUUUAUUACUCUUAAAAUUUUGCUAAUGUAUCUAAUGCCCACCUAAAACAAUUUUGCUUACUUCUACCGUAGAUGCUCUUGACAGGUGAGGAAAGAUUCUAAGCGGGCAUCACAAAGCUGUGGCUACAUGCCAUGGAUUUGAAGAGAAUGGAUAUCUACCGUAUCAGAAAGAUGGAAGGAAGAAGUAAGAUUCAAGAUGUGUAUAUAUGUGGGCACACACAGGGGUGAAAGGCUACCGGUUCGGACCGGAUGACCUGAUCCGGUAGCGAUGGUGGCGGGUGGUUCAGAGAACCGGUAGCAAAAAUCCCUGCCCCCCACCCCUAUGCCCAGCUGAGUCGCGCGAUCAUCAGAGGCUUUUUUUUUUUUACUUUUAAAAGCAUUUUUUCUACAAUC